GACGGCCAUAUCACGUUGAAACAUUUGUUGUCGCACGAUCACUGAAGUUAAGCAACGUCGAGUUUGGUCAGUACCUAAAUGGGUGAACGCUUGGGAAUACCAGGUGCUGCAAGC
This is a non-coding RNA of Acanthosepion pharaonis, 114 nucleotides long. The record is from the annotation of a GenBank genome assembly. NCBI's taxonomy places the organism in Eukaryota, Metazoa, Mollusca, Cephalopoda, Sepiida, Sepiidae.